UACGAAGGGGGCUAGCGUUGCUCGGAAUUACUGGGCGUAAAGCGUGCGUAGGUGGUCUUUUAAGUCCGUUGUGAAAGCCCUGGGCUCAACCUGGGAAUGGCAGUGGAUACUGGAAGGCUGGAGUACGGUAGAGGAGGGUGGAAUUCCCGGUGUAGCGGUGAAAUGCGUAGAGAUCGGGAGGAACAUCAGUGGCGAAGGCGGCCCUCUGGACCAGUACUGACGCUGAGGCACGAAAGCGUGGGGAGCAAACAGG
RNAcentral lists this ribosomal RNA (253 nucleotides) under uncultured bacterium. RNAcentral's name for it is "partial 16S ribosomal RNA". It matches the Rfam family "Bacterial small subunit ribosomal RNA", at positions 524 to 776 of the family's 1533-position model. The record is from RNAcentral.